RNAcentral lists this long non-coding RNA (1014 nucleotides) under Sinocyclocheilus grahami. RNAcentral describes it as "lncRNA (ENSSGRG00000006714.1)". Lineage: Eukaryota; Metazoa; Chordata; Actinopteri; Cypriniformes; Cyprinidae. The record is from RNAcentral.
UCCUGUACAUACUAAUAAACCCCAACAAGUUCAGGUUACUUCACCCAAACGAAUGCUCAAGCCUCCCCCACCGUACACGAAGGUGGUCCGCACGACGUCACUAAGAGAGUAUCUCAACCACCCCAGCCGUGUGAUUCCUCGAGAAGUGGUAUCAGGGGAGCUUAAAACCUGGCACCAGAAAAACAAUAUAGCCAUAUCCAAACCCCGCUCACUUGAACGGCAAGGAUCGACUAAACUUAAGCGCCCAGAGCCGCCACCCUACCACCAUAUUCCCUCUAAUAAACAGGUUUCUCAGAAAGUGAUUCUGCAAAGGGCUUCCGAUGGAACGCCACUGCAGUGGUACGAAGAGGAAGACUCCGAGAUUGUGAGUCAGGUGUAACCAGGUAGAAGAAACCUAGAGGAAAUUAAACAGAGAAAAAGUGAACUCUAAUUGUACACCAUCUUUAUUUUUAUUUAUUGAGCCAAUGGACUCACUGAUGUAGUCUGAUUAUGUUAAUUCUCACCAAGACUUUUUGACCAAGUUGGAGCUGAGUCAGUGAAGUAUAUGCCUAAAUUCCAUAUAUGCCUACAUUUGUGAUUUAAAUUUCAAGUCUAAGACUUCCUUGUAAGGCAUCGUGCCUGAUAUUUAUGAUGAAUGUAUCAUAAAAUUGUGAUUUUAUUGUUGUCAGGAAAGUGUGGCCCACUUUUUGCAUAUGAACGCCCUCAAGGAAAUGACAUAAUUUAGUAUAUAUUUGUGUCUGGUACACGAUCUUUCAUAAUUAAAGUAUUAUGCAAUGUCUUAGUUUCCCCAUGAUUUAAUUUAAUUUAACACAUUAUGAAUUAAUAUAUUAUUUUUCUAUUUUAUUUUUUAUUUGUGAAUUAAUAUGGCCCCUUUCCUAACAUUUUUUAAAUUAGUGAAAUGUUUCAAGAAGUGUUGCUCUGCUACUGUAAUAUGCAUUGUAAGAAUAAUCCAUCUGUCAGUUUAAAUAAUACCAAAUGCAGAUGUUUUACUUCCUGUUUGUACACUACUAAUUA